GUCUACGGCCAUGUCACCCUGAACAAGCCUGAUCUUGUCUGAUCUCAGAAGCUAAGCAAGGUUGGGCCUGGUUAGUACUUGGAUGGAAGACCACCUAGGAAUACUGGGUGCUGUAGGCA
This 119-nucleotide ribosomal RNA is filed under the name Pteropus alecto (black flying fox). The record is from RNAcentral. Lineage: Eukaryota; Metazoa; Chordata; Mammalia; Chiroptera; Pteropodidae. RNAcentral also lists the same sequence under 1 other name.